Molecule: long non-coding RNA, 1290 nt
Filed under: Cervus hanglu yarkandensis (Yarkand deer)
Lineage: Eukaryota; Metazoa; Chordata; Mammalia; Artiodactyla; Cervidae
Description: lncRNA (ENSCHYG00000006073.1)
Source: RNAcentral
CAGGGAUUGGUUGAUCCCAGGAAGAAGGUGGGGCCUUGACGCGGGAGGGAGGCGGGCCCGGAGUCUCCAGAGGCUCCGUCUAUUGGUCCCGCCCCCUUACUGGAAUUCCGGCCCGCGCAGGUAAGGCCGAACCUUUAGUGAAGCCGUCGUACGUCUAGUAGUUCUCCCAGCAACCGGUGACGCACCGGCGUGAGGCAGGCCACUGGCCAACACGGGAGAGCGGGGCUGGAGCGUGACCCUCAAUCCCGAGGCACCUCCCAGUUCCCCCCACUAGGCCGCCUCGCGCUCCUUCCCUCCCUUCCCCGCCACAGUCCCGCAAUCCGGGAGGCGGGGGUCAGCGACCCAGCUGAGUGGGAGCCGCGCGGUGUCCGAGGAGCCAGUCGGCGACCGGUGAGGGGACCGAGGGGCGGGAGGGAGGGUUAGCGCGGGGCAGCCAUCCCCAAUUGUCGCCCGGCUUUUUCCCUCAGCUUCGGGCGGCCAGCGUCUGCCGCCGUGAAGAACGCCGCCCUGGCAACUAGUGACGCAGAGGCCCAGCGGAGCAAGGGAUUGGCCGGCCCGCGUCCGCUGCUGCCGCGCGGCCUGCUCCUCCCAGGCCUUGCCCUCCGUCUGUCCUCACCAGUUUUCCCGCUGUGACCUUCGUUGCUGGCGGCCCCACGACGCAAAUAUCGCCAGGCUGAGUCCGAAAAAAAAGGGCAGCGGCAGCCUCCGGGUCCCGACCAUAUUAAACGCCCCCUACUCUACACUACGUUUUUGGUACCCUGUCUUGCCCUUCGGGUGGGCUGGCGCCUAGAGCAAAGAGUUGAGAUAGGCCCAGGGAUGGGAAAUUUCGUCCUAGGAGAAUCUGACCAGCAACUCGUGACGAAAACUAACUGACGCGCCCGGGAUUGGCUGCGCUGCGGAGGGGGGCCAGGGAAGGCGAUCUGCUCAGAUUUUCUUCCAGGCAUAGACCGUUUCCUUCAAGGGCAAGCUCCAGUAUGGGGGCACAGCACACCCUGCUCCAGAGGCACAGAGAGAGAACAUCCUACAUCAGCCACUCCUGCCCAGUAGUACGGAGGGGAGCAGAAGCUUCAGAGCCCACUCCUGCAGGGCUCAUGGUACAUGGUAAACCUAGCUGCAGCCCACCUCUGAAACAGCCACAGCACCUGCCAUGAGAGAAGGAACCCUGGAAUCUACAGACCAAUUUUCCAGGUCUCUCUUUCCCUUUGCUACUGUUCCCUUUCUAUGCCUUAAAAAUAACGCAGAUGGAGAAGGUGGACUCCAGAGUGUGAGUGGCACUCUGCACCCUGAGGG